Molecule: unclassified non-coding RNA, 392 nt
Filed under: soil metagenome
Description: partial contains 5.8S ribosomal RNA, internal transcribed spacer 2, and large subunit ribosomal RNA
Rfam family: 5.8S ribosomal RNA (bases 1-122)
Source: RNAcentral
GAUGAAGAACGUAGCGAAAUGCGAUACUUGGUGUGAAUUGCAGAAUCCCGUGAACCAUCGAGUCUUUGAACGCAAGUUGCGCCCGAAGCCAUUAGGCCGAGGGCACGCCUGCCUGGGCGUCUCACGUCGUUGCCCCCCCCAUCUACUCCUUCGGGAUUGCGGGGGGCGGAUGAUGGCCUCCCGUGUGCCUCGCCGCGCGGUUGGCAUAAAUGCCAAGUCCUCGGCGACGCACGCCACGACAAUCGGUGGUUGCGAAACCUCGGUUGCCCGUCGUGUGCGGUCGUCGCGCAUCGAGGGCUCGAAAAAAUUGCCGGGUUCCGGCUCGGCUUUCAACGCGACCCCAGGUCAGGCGGGGUUACCCGCUGAAUUUAAGCAUAUCAAUAAGCGGAGGA